This 300-nucleotide unclassified non-coding RNA is filed under the name uncultured Pleosporales. RNAcentral describes it as "sequence contains ITS1". The stretch from base 1 to 105 matches the Rfam family "5.8S ribosomal RNA", at positions 50 to 154 of the family's 154-position model. The record is from RNAcentral. Lineage: Eukaryota; Fungi; Ascomycota; Dothideomycetes; Pleosporales.
GAAAUGCGAUAAGUAGUGUGAAUUGCAGAAUUCAGUGAAUUAUCGAAUCUUUGAACGCACAUUGCGCCCCUUGGUAUUCCAUGGGGCAUGCCUGUUCGAGCGUCAUUUGUACCCUCAAGCUUUGCUUGGUGUUGGGCGUCUUGUCCUCUUCUGGAGGACUCGCCUCAAAACAAUUGGCAGCAGGCAUAUUGGUAUAGGAGCGCAGAACAAGUCGAACUUUGUUCCAUGAAGGUUGGCAUCCAUCAAGACCAUUUUUUCACUCUUGAACUCGGAUCAGGUAGGGAUAACCGCUGAACUUAA